AAUAGAUACCCAGGUAGUCCACGCCCUAAACGAUGUCUACUAGUUGUCGGGUCUUAAUUGACUUGGUAACGCAGCUAACGCGUGAAGUAGACCGCCUGGGGAGUACGGUCGCAAGAUUAAAACUCAAAGGAAUUGACGGGGACCCGCACAAGCGGUGGAUGAUGUGGAUUAAUUCGAUGCAACGCGAAAAACCUUACCUACCCUUGACAUGGCAGGAAUCCUCAAGAGAUUGGGGAGUGCUCGAAAGAGAACCUGCACACAGGUGCUGCAUGGCUGUCGUCAGCUCGUGUCGUGAGAUGUUGGGCUAAGUCCCGCAACGAGCGCAACCCUUGUCAUUAGUUGCUACGAAAGGGCACUCUAAUGAGACUGCCGGUGACAAACCGGAGGAAGGUGGGGAUGACGUCAAGUCCUCAUGGCCCUUAUGGGUAGGGCUUCACACGUCAUACAAUGGUACAUACAGAGGGCCACCAACCCGCGAGGGGAGCUAAUCCCAGAAAGUGUAUCGUAGUCCGGAUUGGAGUCUGC
RNAcentral lists this ribosomal RNA (525 nucleotides) under uncultured bacterium. RNAcentral's name for it is "bacterial SSU rRNA". It matches the Rfam family "Bacterial small subunit ribosomal RNA", at positions 777 to 1308 of the family's 1533-position model. The record is from RNAcentral.